Molecule: ribosomal RNA, 253 nt
Filed under: uncultured bacterium
Lineage: Bacteria
Description: partial 16S ribosomal RNA
Rfam family: Bacterial small subunit ribosomal RNA
Source: RNAcentral
UACGAAGGUGGCAAGCGUUGUUCGGAAUCACUGGGCGUAAAGCGCGCGCAGGCGGCUUUCUAAGUCGGGUGUGAAAGCCUGGAGCUCAACUCCAGAAUUGCACUCGAAACUGGAUUGCUAGAGAUUGGUAGGGGGUAGCGGAAUUCCUAGUGUAGAGGUGAAAUUCGUAGAUAUUAGGAGGAACACCGAUGGCGAAGGCAGCUACCUGGGCCAAUACUGACGCUAUAGCGCGAAAGCGUGGGGAUCAAACAGG